RNAcentral lists this ribosomal RNA (392 nucleotides) under Lathyrus sylvestris. Its description in RNAcentral is "eukaryotic LSU rRNA". The stretch from base 276 to 392 matches the Rfam family "Eukaryotic large subunit ribosomal RNA", at positions 1 to 117 of the family's 3401-position model. Lineage: Eukaryota; Viridiplantae; Streptophyta; Magnoliopsida; Fabales; Fabaceae. The record is from RNAcentral.
CUUUGACGCAAGUUGCGCCCGAUGCCAUUAGGUUGAGGGCACGUCUGCCUGGGUGUCACAUAUCGAAGCCUCCUGCCAAUUUCCUUUUGACAGGUAUUGUGCAGGGUGGAUGUUGGCCUCCCGUGAGCUCUUUCGUCUCAUGGUGGGUUGAAAAUUGAGACCUUGGUAGGGUGUGCCAUGAUAAAUGGUGGUUGUGUGACCCACGAGACCAAUCAUGCGCUGCUCUAUUGAAUUUGGCCUCUUUUACCCAUAUGCGUUUUUAAACGCUCGUGAUGAGACCUCAGGUCAGGCGGGGCUACCCGCUGAAUUUAAGCAUAUCAAUAAGCGGAGGAAAAGAAACUAACAAGGAUUCCCUUAGUAACGGCGAGCGAACCGGGAUAAGCCCACCAUGA